RNAcentral lists this long non-coding RNA (1247 nucleotides) under Numida meleagris (helmeted guineafowl). RNAcentral describes it as "lncRNA (ENSNMEG00000012718.1)". Lineage: Eukaryota; Metazoa; Chordata; Aves; Galliformes; Numididae. The record is from RNAcentral.
ACUAAAAUAAAGGAGUGUUUAUAUACCUAAUAUUUAUAUACCUAAUAUUUAUAUACCUAAACAAUUGCCUUGUUUGAGGGAGUACUGCUUCAAGAGCCAAUAUUUCCAAAAGCGAAGAAAAACCACAUUUGUCGUAAUCGUCAUUUCCUCCACUGUGUCUGUAGGCAGCCGUAAGGACCUUAAUGAAGAAUCCCAAAUCUUCUAUUUUUGUUCUUAAAGAUGUCUCGGACACAUUCAGCUUUCAACAUUUCAAAACCUGCUUAUAACCAAUUUCCACAGGAAGCCCCACUAUUAGAAUGAGCAUGACAGAGGGAGUGGUCUGGGUAAGUGAGAGAAUGGACAAAAAUUACAGGAGUGACAGUCUGUGGAAACUCCACUUUUGGAGAUCUUUGAAAGCUGCCUGGGCAUGGUCCUGAACAACCUGCACCUGGGAGACUGACUUGAGCAGGGGUUGGACCAGGUGGACCUAAGGUCCCUGCCAACACAAAGCAUUCUGUGAUAAUUUUGGAGUGUUCAGAAAGAAGUCAGUCUGAAAUAAUGUCCUCUGUGUGUGUUUGUGUGUCCAUGUGUGCACAUGAACACGAGUCCCAGGAUGUGAAGGGAAAAGCUUUCUCUAAAGACUUCUUUUGUUUUUUUUUUAUCCUGUAUUAAUAUAAUAACCAAGACACAUAGAUGGAAGACAGUGAAUUAUUUACUUUGUUUCCAAUCACUGACAACUUCAGUAAAAUAUUUUGCUACUAUUUAAAAUAAUAUUUGCUAAUAGCUAAUGCCCAGAUCUUAUUUUGUUUUCUAAGCACAGGCAACACUGUGUACUUCAGCUCCUCAGCACAACAGAGCAGUCAAUCUGACACUUUUCACCACCAGCCCCCUAUGAGAAUAAGUACACCCAGAAUAUCAAUACUUCACUGCAAACAUUCACUCCUAAUUAGAAGGAUAAAGAGUGUCAAGCUCAGAAGCACUAGAUACUAGAUGGGAAGAUUUAGGCCCCCCUCUCUUAAUUAGCAACUACUUCAGGAACAUGGACUCUUUAUGUGCUGCAGCUGUACAAGCAGGGUUUAAAGCAUGACAGAAGCCAUAGGAACACUGUGCUAUGCUUUGUUCAAGGCUAUGGGUUGUUUUCUCAAAGCAGCUCUUCCUCUAACAGCUGUAAGGAGAAGGUGAACAACACACUGCCAGCUUUGGUCACAAUAUACUGGAAAGGAAUUUCUCAAACAUUGAACCAUCGCUGGCAUUUUUGGGAAGAAUGA